GCUGCUAUACAUGCAGUCGAGCGGACAGAUGGGAGCUUGCUCCCUGAUGUUAGCGGCGGACGGGUGAGUAACACGUGGGUAACCUGCCUGUAAGACUGGGAUAACUCCGGGAAACCGGGGCUAAUACCGGAUGGUUGUUUGAACCGCAUGGUUCAAACAUAAAAGGUGGCUUCGGCUACCACUUACAGAUGGACCCGCGGCGCAUUAGCUAGUUGGUGAGGUAACGGCUCACCAAGGCAACGAUGCGUAGCCGACCUGAGAGGGUGAUCGGCCACACUGGGACUGAGACACGGCCCAGACUCCUACGGGAGGCAGCAGUAGGGAAUCUUCCGCAAUGGACGAAAGUCUGACGGAGCAACGCCGCGUGAGUGAUGAAGGUUUUCGGAUCGUAAAGCUCUGUUGUUAGGGAAGAACAAGUACCGUUCGAAUAGGGCGGUACCUUGACGGUACCUAACCAGAAAGCCACGGCUAACUACGUGCCAGCAGCCGCGGUAAUACGUAGGUGGCAAGCGUUGUCCGGAAUUAUUGGGCGUAAAGGGCUCGCAGGCGGUUUCUUAAGUCUGAUGUGAAAGCCCCCGGCUCAACCGGGGAGGGUCAUUGGAAACUGGGGAACUUGAGUGCAGAAGAGGAGAGUGGAAUUCCACGUGUAGCGGUGAAAUGCGUAGAGAUGUGGAGGAACACCAGUGGCGAAGGCGACUCUCUGGUCUGUAACUGACGCUGAGGAGCGAAAGCGUGGGGAGCGAACAGGAUUAGAUACCCUGGUAGUCCACGCCGUAAACGAUGAGUGCUAAGUGUUA
Molecule: ribosomal RNA, 797 nt
Filed under: Bacillus subtilis
Lineage: Bacteria; Bacillati; Bacillota; Bacilli; Caryophanales; Bacillaceae
Description: bacterial SSU rRNA
Rfam family: Bacterial small subunit ribosomal RNA
Source: RNAcentral